RNAcentral lists this ribosomal RNA (700 nucleotides) under uncultured bacterium. RNAcentral describes it as "bacterial SSU rRNA". It matches the Rfam family "Bacterial small subunit ribosomal RNA", at positions 60 to 748 of the family's 1533-position model. The record is from RNAcentral.
AGUCGAGGGGCAGCAUGAUUUGUAGCAAUACAGAUUGAUGGCGACCGGCGCACGGAUGAGUAACGCGUAUGCAACUUACCUAUCAGAGGGGGAUAGCCCGGCGAAAGUCGGAUUAAUACCCCAUAAAACAGGGGUCCCGCAUGGGAAUAUUUGUUAAAGAUUCAUCGCUGAUAGAUAGGCAUGCGUUCCAUUAGGCAGUUGGCGGGGUAACGGCCCACCAAACCGACGAUGGAUAGGGGUUCUGAGAGGAAGGUCCCCCACAUUGGUACUGAGACACGGACCAAACUCCUACGGGAGGCAGCAGUGAGGAAUAUUGGUCAAUGGCCGAGAGGCUGAACCAGCCAAGUCGCGUGAAGGAAGAAGGAUCUAUGGUUUGUAAACUUCUUUUAUAGGGGAAUAAAGUGGAGGACGUGUCCUUUUUUGUAUGUACCCUAUGAAUAAGCAUCGGCUAACUCCGUGCCAGCAGCCGCGGUAAUACGGAGGAUGCGAGCGUUAUCCGGAUUUAUUGGGUUUAGAGGGUGCGUAGGUGGUGAUUUAAGUCAGCGGUGAAAGUUUGUGGCUCAACCAUAAAAUUGCCGUUGAAACUGGGUUACUUGAGUGUGUUUGAGGUAGGCGGAAUGCGUGGUGUAGCGGUGAAAUGCAUAGAUAUCACGCAGAACUCCGAUUGCGAAGGCAGCUUACUAAACCAUAACUGACACUG